GUCUGAGGUGGUUGUUGCCACUGAGCUAUAGGUUAAAAAGCAAAGAGCAAAAUGUUAGCCCUCCUGAGCUGUGCAGCAAAGCGCACCAGACACACAAUCAACCUCUGUACAGGAGAUGCUAAUUUCUGGGCAGCAGAAAACCAUUAUAUCAAAGGUAUCUGAAAGACGGUGAAAUGUACUUUGACAGAGCAUUUCUUGUCUUGAUGUGGAUCGUUACUAUUGAGGACAAACUAUAAACGAAAGAAAGAGAGACCAAGUGCUCAGCGUGGGAGCUCAGCACCAAGAUAUUACCUGCAACAACGAGCUCCAGGCUGAAUGUAUUUUCACCGGCUCGAUUGC
Egretta garzetta (little egret) is the source of this 339-nucleotide long non-coding RNA. RefSeq lists it as uncharacterized. The record is from RefSeq and is a predicted model, not a curated record. NCBI's taxonomy places the organism in Eukaryota, Metazoa, Chordata, Aves, Pelecaniformes, Ardeidae. The transcript has 3 exons.